GUAUGUCUUUACUCUUCAUCCUGGGAAACCAUAAAUAAUAACGAGGAAUAAAAUGGCCUGCCAGUGAUAUAAAAUUAUUUUCCGUUUUGUAUUGGAUUUCUCUCCAAAUGAACGCGCUAUGCCGAUCUUAGUAGCAAAAAGCAUGUGAGUGAUUAAAUAUAAUAAAUCCUAUUUUGAGAGGUAAUACUGGUAUUAAAUAGAAAGUGUUAUGGGGAAAACUGACAAAACCUCAGGAAACAAGAUACUAAUUUUCUUAAACAAAAAUAGAGAAUAUGACAUCUCUGACAACAGACAAAAGCUUAGAGGAACUCCGUAGCUUGCCCUUCGCUAACUUCCUGCUCAGGUCUCAAAGUAGUUUUUGCUCAUUCGUGCCAUUACAGAGAGAACCAGG
Non-coding RNA from Pelobates cultripes (western spadefoot toad), 391 nucleotides. The record is from the annotation of a GenBank genome assembly. Lineage: Eukaryota; Metazoa; Chordata; Amphibia; Anura; Pelobatidae.